GACGAACGCUGGCGGCGUGCUUAACACAUGCAAGUCGAACGAAGUGGCGAACGGGUGAGUAACGCGUAAUCAACCUGCCCUUCAGAGGGGGACAACAGUUGGAAACGACUGCUAAUACCGCAUACUGAAGGAGGGGAUUGCGUCUGAUUAGCUAGUUGGAGGGGUAACGGCCCACCAAGGCGAUGAUCAGUAGCCGGUCCGGAGGGGUGGACGGCCCCAUUGGGACUGGACCACGGCCCCGACUCCUACGGGAGGCAGCAGGGGGGAAUCUUCCGCAAUGGACGAAAGUCUGACGGGGCAACGCCGCGGGAGUGAUGACGGCCUUCGGGUUGUAAAGCUCUGUUAAUCGGGACGCGGUACCGGAAUAGAAAGCCACGGCUAACUACGUGCCAGCAGCCGCGGUAAUUC
RNAcentral lists this ribosomal RNA (408 nucleotides) under uncultured bacterium. Its description in RNAcentral is "partial 16S ribosomal RNA". It matches the Rfam family "Bacterial small subunit ribosomal RNA", at positions 28 to 526 of the family's 1533-position model. The record is from RNAcentral.